Long non-coding RNA from Xenopus laevis (African clawed frog), 690 nucleotides. RefSeq lists it as uncharacterized. The transcript has 3 exons. Lineage: Eukaryota; Metazoa; Chordata; Amphibia; Anura; Pipidae. The record is from RefSeq and is a predicted model, not a curated record.
GCAGGAAGAAAGCUGAGAGUUGGUGGAGCAGGAGGGGGCUUGUAUGGAAUUGUACUGUGAAAGAGCAGAAGGCUGAGAAGCAGCAAAAGCAGUGAGCAUUGCUGGAGCAGAAGAUUACAUUGAUACAUGGCAGCUAUCGCUGUUCUGAGAGCUUGGACCGGAUAGCGCCCUUUACGGAACCCUACUUGAUGGAUGGUGCGUCCAGGAGCUCCCUAUCUUGUACUGAGAGCUUAGAAAGUUGAGCAUCUCGCAGGAAAGAAAGACCUUCCUCCGGAAGGUCCUGGUGCUCCUCAUAAAAAAGCUUGAAAUAAGAUUCUAGUUCGGUUAUAAUGGCUUCAGUAUCCCGAGCUCAACCCUCCCUUGUUUUCAGUUUUUUAAUGAAAUGUGAUGUGGCGCUGAGCUUGGUCAAUCUGGCUAAGAGCCUACCUGGUUUGUUUCCCCAUCUAUAAAACCUGUUCCUCGCAUGAGAGAUUUUGUAAUGUGCGCUAUCGUGUAAUAAAGUGUUAAACAAAGCCUUUGUGUCUGUGUAUUUUAUUUUAUCUGCCUCGGAAUUUGUACGUUUAAAAGCCGUGUAGUGUUUCGUGAGCUCCUUUUGCAGAAGCAUGUACUUUUCCCUAAAGCAUUUCUUUUGUUUUAUUAUAUACGCCGUGACAUGGCCUCUUAGCACAGGCUUGGAAGCAGCCCAUAAUA